Molecule: ribosomal RNA, 1976 nt
Filed under: human gut metagenome
Description: bacterial LSU rRNA
Rfam family: Bacterial large subunit ribosomal RNA
Source: RNAcentral
GAAAGUAUUCAAGGGCGCACGGCGGAUGCCUAGGCUCUUACAGGCGAUGAAGGACGUGAUAAGCUGCGACAAGCCGCGGUGAGGCGCAAAUGGCCAUUGACCCGCGGGUUUCCGAAUGGGGCAACCCAACGUUUUGAAGAGACGUUAUCCCGCGAGAGCGGGAGGCGAACGCGGGGAACUGAAACAUCUUAGUACCCGCAGGAGAAGAAAAUAAAUAAUGAUUCCCCCAGUAGUGGCGAGCGACCGGGGAAUAGCCCAAACCGGCGUUGUCCAGGCAUCGCCGGGGUUGUAGGACCGCGAUGUCGCAAGAGUGAUGGCGAGUGGAAGGAACUGGAAAGUUCCGCCAUAGAGGGUGACAGCCCCUUACACGAAGCCAUGCGAAGCGUAGCGGAAUCCUGAGUAGCGCGGGACACGUGUAAUCCUGUGUGAAUCAGCCGGGCCCAUCCGGCAAGGCUAAAUACUCGUAAGAGACCGAUAGUGAACCAGUACCGUGAGGGAAAGGUGAAAAGCACCCCUGUUAGGGGAGUGAAAAAGAUCCUGAAACCGUGCGCCUACAAGCGGUCGGAGCGCCCAUUGGGCGUGACGGCGUGCCUUUUGCAUAAUGAACCUACGAGUUGCCGUCACCGGCAAGGUGAAGGGGCAGGAGCCCCUCAGCCGCAGCGGAAGCGAGUCUUAAAAGGGCGCAGGAGUCGGUGGUGGCAGACGCGAAACCGAGUGAUCUACACUUGUCCAGGAUGAAGUCCCGGUAACACGGGAUGGAGGUCCGCACCAAUAAGCGUUGAAAAGCUUCUGGAUGAGGUGAGUGUAGGAGUGAAAGGCCAAUCAAACUCGGAGAUAGCUCGUACUCCCCGAAAGGCAUUUAGGUGCCGCCUGUGGAGUUCCCGGCGCGAGGUAGAGCGACUGAUAGGAUGCGAGGGCUUCACCGCCUGUCAAGUCCUGACAAACUCCGAAUGCGCGCCGGCCAAUCCAUGGAGUAAGGGCACGGGUGCUAAGGUCCGUGCCCGAGAGGAGAAGAAUCCAGACCACCGGCCAAGGUCCCGAAAUGCUGGUUAAGUUAGACUAACGCAGUCCGUCCCCCCAGACAGCUAGGAUGUUGGCUUGGAAGCAGCCAUUCAUUCAAAGAGUGCGUAACAGCUCACUAGUCGAGGGGAUGGGCGUGGAUAAUAAUCGGGUAUGAAACCAGUUACCGAAGCCGUGGGAUAUGAGAAUAUCGGUAGGGGAGCAUUCCAUCCUGCGUCGAAGGCGCCGCGCGAGCGGCUCUGGAGCGGAUGGAAAAGCAAAUGUAGGUAUAAGUAACGAUAAGGAGGGUGCGAUCCCCUCCCGCCGAAAGACCAAGGUUUCCUGAACAACGCCAAUCGGUUCAGGGUGAGUCGGUCCCUAAGCAUAAGCCUAAGGGCGAGGGCGAUGGAUCAAACGGUUAAUAUUCCGUUACUGUCUUGGUGUGUGACGCGGCGACGGAGAAGUGACACGGCCGCCCCCUGACGGAAAAGGGGGUUUAAGCGCAAAGGUUACGAGGGAGGCAGGCAAGCCCACCUCCCGAGCCGAAGCGCGAAAGUACGCGGCGCCCUUCUGGGCAACGCGACAGCGCCGGUAACCAUGCUCCCGAGAAAACCCGCUAAACUCCAGCACCAGGUCAUCCGUACCGUAAACGGACACACGUGGUCGGGUAGAACAUACUAAGGCGCUUGGGAGAUUCACGGUUAAGGAACUAGGCAAAUUGACCCCGUACCUUCGGAACAAGGGGUCCUCGUGUAAACGAGGCGCAGAGAAUAGGUCCAGGCAACUGUUUAACAAAAACACAGGGCUGUGCAAAUUCGAAAGAAGCCGUAUACAGCCUGACACCUGCCCGGUGCCGGAAGGUUAAGAGGAGAUGUCACUAGCAAUAGGAAGCAUUGAAUUGAAGCCCCGGUAAACGGCGGCCGUAACUAUAACGGUCCUAAGGUAGCGAAAUUCCUUGUCGGGUAAGUUCCGACCUG